This 1687-nucleotide ribosomal RNA is filed under the name Solanum lycopersicum (tomato). Its description in RNAcentral is "bacterial SSU rRNA". It matches the Rfam family "Eukaryotic small subunit ribosomal RNA", at positions 3 to 1636 of the family's 1831-position model. The record is from RNAcentral. Lineage: Eukaryota; Viridiplantae; Streptophyta; Magnoliopsida; Solanales; Solanaceae.
CCUGGUUGAUCCUGCCAGUAGUCAUAUGCUUGUAUCAAAGAUUAAGCUAUGCAUGUGUAAGUAUGAACAAAUUCAGACCGUGAAACUCCGAAUGGCUCAUUAAAUCAGUUAUACUUGUUUGAUGGUAUCUACUACUCGGAUAACCUUACUAAUUCUAGAGCUAAUACGUGCAACAAACCCCGACUUCUGGAAGGGAUGCAUUUAUUAGAUAAAAGGUCGAUGUGGGCUCUGCCAGUUGCUGCGAUGAUUCAUGAUAACUCGACGGAUCGCACGGCCAUCAUGCCGGCGACGCAUCAUUCAAAUUUCAACCCUAUGAACUUUUGAUGGUAGGACAGUGGCCUACCAUGGUGGUGACGGGUGACGGAGAAUUAUGGUUCGAUUGCGGAGAGGGAGCCUCCGAAACGGCUACCAUAUCCAAGGAAAGAAGAAGGCGUGCAAAUUACCCAAUCCUGACACGAGGAGGUAGUGACAAUAAAUAACAAUACUGGGCUCCAUGAGUCGGGUAAUUGGAAUGAGUACAAUCUAAAUCCCUUAACGAGAAUCCAUUGGAGGGCAAGUCUAGUGCCAGCAGUCGCGGUAAUUCCAGCUCUAAUAGCGUAUAUUUUAGUUGUUGCAAUUAAAAAGCUCGUAGUUUGACUUUGGGAUGGGCCGACCGGUGCGCCCUAGAUGUGCACCGGUCGUCUCGUCCCUUCUGUCAGGCGAUGCGCUCAUGGCGUUUAAUGGCCGGGUCGUGCCUCCGACGCUGUUACUUUGAAGAAUUAGAGUGCUCAAAGAAAUCCUACGCUCUGUAUACAUUAGCAUGGGAUAACAUUAUAGGUUUUCAUUCAUAUAACGUUGGCCUUCAGGAUCAUAGUAAUGAUUAACAAGAAUAGUCGGGGGCAUUCGUAUUUCAUAGUCAGAGGUGAAAUUCUUGGAUUUAUGAAAGAUGAACAAUUGCGAAAGCAUUUGCCAAGAAUAUUUUAGUUAACCAAGAACGAAAUUUGGGGGCUCAAAGAUGAUUAGAUACCGUCCAAGUCUCAACCAUAAACUAUGCUGACCAGGGAUCGACUUAGGACUCUGCCGCCACCUUAUGAGAAAUCAAAGUUUUUGGGUUUUGGGGGGAGUAUGGUCGCAAGGCUGAAACUUAAAGGAAUUGACGGAAGGGCACCACCAGGAGUGGAGCCUGCGGCUUUAUUUGACUCAACACAGGGAAACUUACAAGGUCCAAACAUAGUAAGGAUUGAUAGACUUAGAGCUCUUUCUUGAUUCUACUGGUGGUGGUGCAUGGCCGUUCUUAGUUGGUGAAGCGAUUUGUUUGGUUAAUUCCAUUAACGAAUGAGACCUCAUCCUGCUAACUAGCUAUGCGGAAGUAUCCCUUCGCGGCCAGCUUCUUAGAGGGACUACGGCCUUUUAGGCCGCGGAUGUUUGAGGCAAUAACAGGUUUGUGAUGCCCUUAGAUGUUAUGGGCCGCACGCGCGCUACACUGAUUAUUCAACGAGCUUAUAGCUUUGGCCAACAGGCCCGGGUAAUUUUUGAAAUUUCGUCGUGAUAGGGAUAUAUCAUUGCAUUUAUUGGUUUUCAACGAGGAAUUCCUAGUAAGCAUACGCGCUUAUGUGUGCUAGUUUACCACCCUUAAAUUUCAGAUUCCCAACCUCAGGGACGACGACGCAUUGUUCUACCUCAUGGAUGGGCUGCAAAAUUGGGCCAG